This is a non-coding RNA of Nicotiana sylvestris (wood tobacco), 101 nucleotides long. The record is from Rfam. Lineage: Eukaryota; Viridiplantae; Streptophyta; Magnoliopsida; Solanales; Solanaceae.
GUGUUCCCUAGAGUUCCCUUGACCGCUUCAUGAGGGAUUACUUCUCCAUAACUUAUUGUUUAAAGCCCUGCUGAAGUGUUUGGGGGAACUCCAGGAUUCAC